Long non-coding RNA from Cyanistes caeruleus (blue tit), 1506 nucleotides. RefSeq lists it as uncharacterized. The record is from RefSeq and is a predicted model, not a curated record. Lineage: Eukaryota; Metazoa; Chordata; Aves; Passeriformes; Paridae.
CAGGGCAGCGGGGCAGCCCGAGCUCCCCGGGCCCCAGGGGCGGCUCCUCAGGCAGCCGGGACGGCUUGGCCUGGGUGGGUCCGGGACGGGCACUGAGCCGCAGCUGUGCUGCACACACACAGUACUCUGGACACACUGGGUGCUGUGGAUGAGAGAGAACCUCCGCCGAGCCCGGCUUUGGAGUGGGGUCAGGAGGAGCAGCCGGUGGGACCGGAGCUGGAGGGGACCUGGUCCUUCAGGAGUGACCGAGAAGUCUAUGACCAUGGCCUACCCAGCCCUCUGGAGUUACUCAGUGGUGGCACAGCCCCGACUGCUCUGCCAGAUGUGAUGAGUUUGUGCCCAGCUGGCUGAAACCCCAAUUAGACCAUAACAGUGAUUUCAGCUAGAGGAAAUAAUUUGGUUAUUCUGACUGUUCAGUGUGCUCCUGUCACCAUAGAGGACUUCACUGCACUUGGACAGGAACAAUAUUGAUAGUACUACACUGGGGGGAGUCACCCUGUCUAGGAUUUGGCACUCUCUCCUGUAAUAGCCUGUGCUGAUGGACAUCAAGAGGUGAACCUUUCCUGACCCUAUGUUAUGCACAAGAAAACAAAAGCAGAAGUAUCUUUUCCACUUUACAUGUGAGGGAUAAGUGUUACAGCAUUUUGGUAUCCUUGUCUUGUGUUUGUCAUAAUAUCCUAAUCCAUUGAGGCCAUGUUAAGGAGGGACCUUUGAGAGCUCUAUAAAUCGGAUUUCCUCAAAGUGAAACAGGAUGGGAUUGCAAUGUCUCCUUGGCAUGGCCCUGAAACCAAAACGAUUCUUCACUGACUAAAUAGUUUGAUGAGCUGGUUAGACUACAGCCUGCAGCCAGAGAUGGAAAGGAAGCUGCCUUUUCCUUGAAUUCUGCUCCUUUUUCUCAUGCAAGCUGGAAACAGAACUAACACGAAGUAAUUCCUCUCACUGCUAACCUCAGACUCAAGUUUGAUUACUCACUGCAUUAAUUUACCAAUUCCAUGAUUCGAACCCAUUGGUUUAUUGAUUUUGUCUUAAUAGGAACACAGAUGCAAUCACGGGAUUGUUCAGUUUUUAAUUAACUUUGCAAAAUUAUAGCAGAUUUACCCUGCUGUCUUAAAAAUUAACUCCCUAGCUUAUUCUUUUCAAUAAAACCCAUUUCAAUAAAAUCCAGAAUGCUGGUUUAUUCUGUCAGGCUGCUCCAGGCAACUAGCAAUAGGACAAGAGGACACAGGCUGCAUCAGAGGAGGUAUAGGUUGGAUAUUACCCUUCACAGAAGGGGUGAUUGGGCAUUGGAAUGGGCUGCCUAGGGAGGUGGUGGAGUCACCAUCCCUGGAGGUGCUUAAGAAAAGUCUGGAUGUGGUACUCAGUGCCAUGGUCUAGUUGACAAGAUGAUGGUUGGUCAUAGGUUGAGCUUCAUGAGGUCUUGGAGAUCAUUUCCAACCUAGUUGAAUCUGCAAUUCUGUGAUUCAAUGGAUCAGAAAUGCACAUACAGAAUAAACUAUUUGCAGGCCA